RNAcentral lists this long non-coding RNA (743 nucleotides) under Triticum aestivum (bread wheat). RNAcentral's name for it is "long non-coding RNA (TAES_LNC021353)". Lineage: Eukaryota; Viridiplantae; Streptophyta; Magnoliopsida; Poales; Poaceae. The record is from RNAcentral.
AUACACACUCAGCUUUAAUGUACAUGAAAUUCAUUUAUACCCAGCUUAUCAGCCAAUGUGGCUGGAAUAAUCAGUACACAAAAAGGGGGCUGAGUUAUGUUGUGUGUACAGAUCACACUUCAAAAAGGGGUGCUUAUGAAAGCAGUACAAAAGUUAUUUGUGAUGUUCACACACAGUACCAACUUGCAGCAAGUGAGCUCCCUCUACAUAGCUUGCUUAUAACAAAAUUGCCCAUAGGGCUAUCAGAAAAGAGUAAUGGUAUGACAUCUAGGUAAUGUGAACAAACUGUCCAGUAAUCCCCUUGGAAAAAGAACUCCCGCAAAAAAAUAAUGACAACACUUGAUGUUACAGUAGCAAGGCAGAGCUACCAUCCCUCGAUUUUCAAUGAGCCGGCACAAACUAAGGGCCCCAAAAUAUUCCAUUCUGGCCUUCUGGAUAAUUUACAGUGCAGUUAAGUCUCCCACUGAAAGAAAUUGCUUCAUAUCAUCAGAGGAAAUUCAGCUAAUUGGUAAACAUGAACUGUGUUUUCCUUCUCACCUACUGUCCUCACUAACACAGAUAACCUUCAAAAUGGAUUGCUACCUGCCUCAUUUGAUUCACAUGAAUUCUGCAAAAGUACAAUUUUAGUAACCCUAGAUUCGCUCCACAUCCAAAAGGGCCUCUUGUGGUCUCUUGUUACCUGAUAUGUACAGCUACCGUAUAACAUCGUCAUCAUGCACAGACCUAGCUAAGCAAUGAACUUC